This 88-nucleotide microRNA precursor is filed under the name Chlorocebus sabaeus (green monkey). RNAcentral describes it as "miRNA (ENSCSAG00000024223.1)". Lineage: Eukaryota; Metazoa; Chordata; Mammalia; Primates; Cercopithecidae. The record is from RNAcentral.
GAUGGACUGUCCCCACCCUGCAGAUUGAGGAGAGCACCACAGUGGUCACCACACAGUCCGCCGAGGUUGGAGCUGCUGAGACGACGCU